GACGAACGCUGUUUGCGUGCUUAACACAUGCAAGUCGAACGGAAAGGCCCUGCUUUUGUGGGGUGCUCGAGUGGCGAACGGGUGAGUAACACGUGAGUAACCUGCCCUUGACUUUGGGAUAACUUCAGGAAACUGGGGCUAAUACCGGAUAGGAGCUCCUGCUGCAUGGUGGGGGUUGGAAAGUUUCGGCGGUUGGGGAUGGACUCGCGGCUUAUCAGCUUGUUGGUGGGGUAGUGGCUUACCAAGGCUUUGACGGGUAGCCGGCCUGAGAGGGUGACCGGCCACAUUGGGACUGAGAUACGGCCCAGACUCCUACGGGAGGCAGCAGUGGGGAAUAUUGCACAAUGGGCGGAAGCCUGAUGCAGCAACGCCGCGUGCGGGAUGACGGCCUUCGGGUUGUAAACCGCUUUCGCCUGUGACGAAGCGUGAGUGACGGUAAUGGGUAAAGAAGCACCGGCUAACUACGUGCCAGCAGCCGCGGUGAUACGUAGGGUGCGAGCGUUGUCCGGAUUUAUUGGGCGUAAAGGGCUCGUAGGUGGUUGAUCGCGUCGGAAGUGUAAUCUUGGGGCUUAACCCUGAGCGUGCUUUCGAUACGGGUUGACUUGAGGAAGGUAGGGGAGAAUGGAAUUCCUGGUGGAGCGGUGGAAUGCGCAGAUAUCAGGAGGAACACCAGUGGCGAAGGCGGUUCUCUGGGCCUUUCCUGACGCUGAGGAGCGAAAGCGUGGGGAGCGAACAGGCUUAGAUACCCUGGUAGUCCACGCUGUAAACGGUGGGUACUAGGUGUGGGGUCCAUUCCACGGGUUCCGUGCCGUAGCUAACGCUUUAAGUACCCCGCCUGGGGAGUACGGCCGCAAGGCUAAAACUCAAAGGAAUUGACGGGGCCCCGCACAAGCGGCGGAGCAUGCGGAUUAAUUCGAUGCAACGCGUAGAACCUUACCUGGGUUUGACAUGGAUCGGGAGUGCUCAGAGAUGGGUGUGCCUCUUUUGGGGUCGGUUCACAGGUGGUGCAUGGCUGUCGUCAGCUCGCGUCGUGAGAUGUUGGGUUAAGUCCCGCAACGAGCGCAACCCUUGUUCACUGUUGCCAGCACGUUAUGGUGGGGACUCAGUGGAGACCGCCGGGGUCAACUCGGAGGAAGGUGGGGAUGACGUCAAGUCAUCAUGCCCCUUAUGUCCAGGGCUUCACGCAUGCUACAAUGGCUGGUACAGAGAGUGGCGAGCCUGUGAGGGUGAGCGAAUCUCGGAAAGCCGGUCUCAGUUCGGAUUGGGGUCUGCAACUCGACCUCAUGAAGUCGGAGUCGCUAGUAAUCGCAGAUCAGCAACGCUGCGGUGAAUACGUUCCCGGGACU
RNAcentral lists this ribosomal RNA (1346 nucleotides) under uncultured bacterium. RNAcentral's name for it is "partial 16S ribosomal RNA". It matches the Rfam family "Bacterial small subunit ribosomal RNA", at positions 28 to 1381 of the family's 1533-position model. The record is from RNAcentral.